Molecule: small nuclear RNA, 23 nt
Filed under: Arabidopsis thaliana (thale cress)
Lineage: Eukaryota; Viridiplantae; Streptophyta; Magnoliopsida; Brassicales; Brassicaceae
Description: snRNA_05865
Source: RNAcentral
GGUAACGACAUCAUCGAUAUCGA